UGUCUGGGGAUCUGCCUGAUGGUGGGGGAUAACUACUGGAAACGGUAGCUAAUACCGCAUAACGUCGCAAGACCAAAGUGGGGGACCUUCGGGCCUCACGCCAUCGGAUGAACCCAGAUGGGAUUAGCUAGUAGGUGAGGUAAUGGCUCACCUAGGCGACGAUCCCUAGCUGGUCUGAGAGGAUGACCAGCCACACUGGAACUGAGACACGGUCCAGACUCCUACGGGAGGCAGCAGUGGGGAAUAUUGCACAAUGGGCGCAAGCCUGAUGCAGCCAUGCCGCGUGUGUGAAGAAGGCCUUCGGGUUGUAAAGCACUUUCAGCGGGGAGGAAGGCGAUAAGGUUAAUAACCUUGUUGAUUGACGUUACCCGCAGAAGAAGCACCGGCUAACUCCGUGCCAGCAGCCGCGGUAAUACGGAGGGUGCGAGCGUUAAUCGGAAUUACUGGGCGUAAAGCGUACGCAGGCGGUCUGUUAAGUCAGAUGUGAAAUCCCCGGGCUUAACCCGGGAACUGCAUUUGAAACUGGCAGGCUAGAGUCUCGUAGAGGGGGGUAGAAUUCCAGGUGUAGCGGUGAAAUGCGUAGAGAUCUGGAGGAAUACCGGUGGCGAAGGCGGCCCCCUGGACGAAGACUGACGCUCAGGUACGAAAGCGUGGGGAGCAAACAGGAUUAGAUACCCUGGUAGUCCACGCUGUAAACGAUGUCGAUUUGAAGGUUGUGGCCUUGAGCCGUGGCUUUCGGAGCUAACGCGUUAAAUCGACCGCCUGGGGAGUACGGCCGCAAGGUUAAAACUCAAAUGAAUUGACGGGGGCCCGCACAAGCGGUGGAGCAUGUGGUUUAAUUCGAUGCAACGCGAAGAACCUUACCUACUCUUGACAUCCA
Molecule: ribosomal RNA, 880 nt
Filed under: Sodalis sp. (in: enterobacteria)
Lineage: Bacteria; Pseudomonadati; Pseudomonadota; Gammaproteobacteria; Enterobacterales; Bruguierivoracaceae
Description: bacterial SSU rRNA
Rfam family: Bacterial small subunit ribosomal RNA
Source: RNAcentral